AAUAGAGAAGUAAAUUACAUUUAGUUUCGACCUAAAAAUUUAAGAAUUUAAUUCUUCCUAUUU
Molecule: transfer RNA, 63 nt
Filed under: Cosmoscarta heros
Lineage: Eukaryota; Metazoa; Arthropoda; Insecta; Hemiptera; Cercopidae
Description: tRNA-Arg
Source: RNAcentral